UAUAUGUCGCGUUUGGUACUAUCUGUGGUUUCAGGUAUCCACUGGGGGUCUUGGAAUGUAUUCCCUGUAGAUAAAGGGGGACUACUGUAUACCAAUUUGCUCAUAUCCUGACUUCCUAUUCACUCCUUCUGCCUUUGUCCUUCCUUCUGUCUUCCUCCACAUUAAAAACUCAAAUAUGCUAAGAGAAAGCUUUCACUUUUUAAAUAGCCUAAAUUGGCACAGUUUUCUUUUUCACCAUCUCUGAAAAUUAACAUGUGACCAAAUCAUUUCACCUCUGGUAGCAGAGAUGUAUGAGACUAUACUCUUCUGUAAUGCCAGAAAAACAUAAUCCAAUUUAGUAGAGGCAAAGAAAGAAAAGGAUGGUGAUAAAUUUCUACAUAAAUGCCUCAUGUUGGCAUGAGAUCAUCUACAGUCCUCUUAUUUGUCAAAUAAAGAGAUGGAGAUUCAGGGAGUUAGAGUCACUUUCUAUCACAAAGUCUGUAGCAGAAUCAAGACUCAAGCCCAGGUCUUCAGAACAAAGCUUAGUACGUUAUAUCACACUUUUCCCCUGGCUUCCAUUUCUGAGACUCACCAAAAGCUUCAAGACCAGAGAACAUAAUUUGCCAUCUUAUACUUAGAAAAUGCCAUCAGUUUUUCUGCACUAAUUACGGGUCCUUUGGAUGAAGAUAGUAACAUAAAACUGGCAGUAUUUUUCAUGGAAGAAGAUUUAUGCAUCACUGCAUUUGGAUUCAACAAAAUUUCUCUGUAAUGCUUCCUCAGAUGUCAGUCAAUGGGAUUUUCUCAUAGGCAAGAACAGUUCUUGAAGUUUGCAUCGGUAUGGAGAGAGUAUGUAGCCAUCAACAUGGCAUGGAUUUGAGAGUGAAUAAAAAAAAGAAACGCAAAGAGAAGAUAAUCAUUUAGCGGAGUCUGGGGUCCAUCAGUCUGCAUCUAGUUUAGCGUCUGUGGCUCACUGCAUGGAAGCUGUUCACCAGAGGUUCCCUCUAUCAUAUGUCUGCCUGGAGCUCUGAUUUCUGCGACUUCAGGAAGAGAAAGAGCCUGGCAGGGCCCAGGCUCAGCUUUUGCCUCUCUGGGAAGUCUCUCAACCCGUUGCUGAUCUGACCCCAUCUUUGGAGAUCUGCUUCUAAGAGCCCGUGAAGGAUGAAGACCUCAAAGAGCUCAUGGUAUAGGGAUAGAAAUGAACUGCUGUUUGCUCAAAGGGGGUAAAGGAAGUGAGAAGAGCCAGUGUCAGGCAUGAACACACAAAAGAGCAUGAUGUGUUAGGAUCUAUACAGUAUACUACAUUGCAUUUACUUGUCAUAUCUGAGGCUUCUCUUAGCUAUGACAGUUUCUUGGACUUUCCUCAUUUUUGAUGACCUUGACAGUUUUGAGGAGUACUGGUUGAAUAUAUUGUAGGAUGCCUCUGUAUUAGAAUUUGUCUGAAGACUUAUCUUGAUUAGACUGGGAUUAUGGGUUUUAGAGAGGAAGACCACAAUGGUAAAUUGCCAUUUACAUCACAUCAUAUUGUUGAAAUCAGAAACAAAUGGAGAACAGCAUUGAGAAUUCCCUACAUGGACAAAACUAGUUUGGUCACAGAAACAAAACUUAAAUUUCUUAUUUUGCAAGACUAACUUGACCUGGGUCUUUUCUUCCCUAUGCUUCUGAAAAUUCUAAGCAAAACUUGAACUGUUUCCCAAGGUUGAUAUGAGGUGACCAAUGACCAAUUCCUUAUUAUUUAAGAAAACUCCAAUGUUAACUAAUCACUGUGAAGAAUAAAUAGUCACUGUCUUCCCACUAUAUAAAGGUGCUUUAUAACAGUAUAAUCCUGAGCCUUGAUCCAUGUUUUGGUUGGAGGGCACCCAGUUUGCAAACUGUCUUUUUGGUUGUGUGCACAAUAAACUUUUAUUAAUUGCUAA
Molecule: long non-coding RNA, 1892 nt
Organism: Felis catus (domestic cat)
Lineage: Eukaryota; Metazoa; Chordata; Mammalia; Carnivora; Felidae
Exons: 8
Source: RefSeq, a predicted model, not a curated record